This 345-nucleotide unclassified non-coding RNA is filed under the name soil metagenome. RNAcentral's name for it is "partial contains 5.8S ribosomal RNA, internal transcribed spacer 2, and large subunit ribosomal RNA". The stretch from base 1 to 120 matches the Rfam family "5.8S ribosomal RNA", at positions 35 to 154 of the family's 154-position model. The record is from RNAcentral.
GAUGAAGAACGCAGCGAAAUGCGAUAAGUAAUGUGAAUUGCAGAAUCCAGUGAAUCAUCGAGUCUUUGAACGCACAUUGCGCCCUCUGGUAUUCCGGAGGGCAUGCCUGUCCGAGCGUCAUUGCUGCCCUCAAGCACGGCUUGUGUGUUGGGCCCCGCCCCCCGAUCCCGGGGGGCGGGCCCGAAAGGCAGCGGCGGCACCGCGUCCGGUCCUCGAGCGUAUGGGGCUUUGUCACCCGCUCUGUAGGCCCGGCCGGCGCCUGCCGAUCAACCAAACUUUUUUCCAGGUUGACCUCGGAUCAGGUAGGGAUACCCGCUGAACUUAAGCAUAUCAAUAAGCGGAGGA